RNAcentral lists this ribosomal RNA (497 nucleotides) under uncultured bacterium. RNAcentral describes it as "partial 16S ribosomal RNA". It matches the Rfam family "Bacterial small subunit ribosomal RNA", at positions 28 to 507 of the family's 1533-position model. The record is from RNAcentral.
GACGAACGCUGGCGGCGUGCCUAAUACAUGCAAGUUGAGCGAUGAAGCUUGGUGCUUGCACCAAUUUGAAGAGCAGCGAACGUGUGAGUAACGCGUGGGGAAUCUGCCUUUGAGCGGGGGACAACAUUUGGAAACGAAUGCUAAUACCGCAUAACAACUUUAAACAUAAGUUUUAAGUUUGAAAGAUGCAAUUGCAUCACUCAAAGAUGAUCCCGCGUUGUAUUAGCUAGUUGGUGAGGUAAAGGCUCACCAAGGCGAUGAUACAUAGCCGACCUGAGAGGGUGAUCGGCCACAUUGGGACUGAGACACGGCCCAAACGCCUUCGGGAGGCAGCAGUAGGGAAUCGUCGGCAAUGGGCGAAAGUCUGACCGAGCAACGCCGCGUGAGUGAAGAAGGGUUUCGGAUCGUAAAACUCUGUUGGUAGAGAAGAACGUUGGUGAGAGUGGAAAGCUCAUCAAGUGACGGUAACUACCCAGAAAGGGACGGCUAACUACGUG